UACGAAGGGGGCUAGCGUUGUUCGGUUUUACUGGGCGUAAAGCGCACGUAGGCGGAUCGUUAAGUCGGGGGUGAAAUCCCGGAGCUCAACUCCAGAACUGCCUUCGAUACUGGCGAUCUUGAGUCCGGAAGAGGUGAGUGGAACUCCUAGUGUAGAGGUGGAAUUCGUAGAUAUUAGGAAGAACACCAGUGGCGAAGGCGGCUCACUGGUCCGGUACUGACGCUGAGGUGCGAAAGCGUGGGGAGCAAACAGG
Molecule: ribosomal RNA, 253 nt
Filed under: uncultured bacterium
Lineage: Bacteria
Description: partial 16S ribosomal RNA
Rfam family: Bacterial small subunit ribosomal RNA
Source: RNAcentral